GAGCAAACAGGAUUAGAUACCCUGGUAGUCCACGCCGUAAACGAUGUCGACUUGGAGGUUGUGCCCUUGAGGCGUGGCUUCCGGAGCUAACGCGUUAAGUCGACCGCCUGGGGAGUACGGCCGCAAGGUUAAAACUCAAAUGAAUUGACGGGGGCCCGCACAAGCGGUGGAGCAUGUGGUUUAAUUCGAUGCAACGCGAAGAACCUUACCUGGUCUUGACAUCCACGGAACUUUCCAGAGAUGGGAAGGUGCCUUCGGGAACCGUGAGACAGGUGCUGCAUGGCUGUCGUCAGCUCGUGUUGUGAAAUGUUGGGUUAAGUCCCGCAACGAGCGCAACCCUUAUCCUUUGUUGCCAGCGGUCCGGCCGGGAACUCAAAGGAGACUGCCAGUGAUAAACUGGAGGAAGGUGGGGAUGACGUCAAGUCAUCAUGGCCCUUACGACCAGGGCUACACACGUGCUACAAUGGCGCAUACAAAGAGAAGCGACCUCGCGAGAGCAAGCGGACCUCAUAAAGUGCGUCGUAGUCCGGAUUGGAGUCUGCAACUCGACUCCAUGAAGUCGGAAUCGCUAGUAAUCGUGGAUCAGAAUGCCACGGUGAAUACGUUCCCGGGCCUUGUACACACCGCCCGUCACACCAUGGGAGUGGGUUGCAAAAGAAGUAGGUAGCUUAACCUUCG
Molecule: ribosomal RNA, 678 nt
Filed under: Escherichia sp.
Lineage: Bacteria; Pseudomonadati; Pseudomonadota; Gammaproteobacteria; Enterobacterales; Enterobacteriaceae
Description: bacterial SSU rRNA
Rfam family: Bacterial small subunit ribosomal RNA
Source: RNAcentral